Ictalurus furcatus (blue catfish) is the source of this 2544-nucleotide long non-coding RNA. RefSeq lists it as uncharacterized. The transcript is spliced from 2 exons. The record is from RefSeq and is a predicted model, not a curated record. NCBI's taxonomy places the organism in Eukaryota, Metazoa, Chordata, Actinopteri, Siluriformes, Ictaluridae.
CAAGCAUUGGGGCGGUCAGAAGCUUUCUGAGAUCCUGCUGUACUUCAUUCGCUUCCAUCGACCUCACCUGUACAUUCCCCGCUAUAAACUUAAAUGUAGGAAGCCUCUAAAACCUCUACAUCAUGUCCGAAGCUGAGAGCGCAGCACUGCGGCUCUGCACAUACAUCCUUCUCAUAACAUCACAUAGCUGGAGACGUCGGAGGUCAUGUUGGACAGAAUAUGUAAAUAAUAACUGCGGGUGAAUUUUCAGUGAUGAUUUCUCAGGUGGAAACAGAACACAAGUUGGAGUAUGAGAGUUUCUCCUCUGAUUCUCUGUAAGGCAGUGCUCCUCAGAUCCUCGCUGUCCUAACACACACAUAAUCAACUGAUGACAAAACCCAAAAUCCUCUCAUUACUUACUACAUUACAUUACUACUUUCAUUACCACUACGAUCUUUUCAUUAGUACUUAGAAAUGAACAUUUAGAGGAUUUUCUGCAUUCAAAUGAUCCCAAAAACAUACAAAAACACACACAAAAAGCUCUUUGUCUCUUUAAACUUCCACUCGCUCUCCUUCUCACACUUUAACAAAUCCCGAACUAGGAAGCUCGUUUCAGAGCGAUAGUCUCAUUAUCCGUCUUUAAGAAUCGCAAUUUUGCCCAAAAGGCUUUGGAAAAGUACCGUACAAGAGAAGAUCUGCUUCGUCUUCGUCUGUUAUUUGUGUAUGGUGGAUUAACACAGAGGUCACCAAACUGUAAAGUGAACUAAAGAACUAAAAAGGUGACAACUUCAAAUCUUUCUUCCAAACAAUGCAACAACAACAACAAAAAAAAUUCUAAUCUAAUUUCUAAUGUCUUAGUCGGAUAUGAGCUCAUGAAUUCAUGUAAAUGAUUCCAGGUGACUUACAGGUCAAAAUUCUGCUCUUAUUAGAGUGUUGAAUAAGUGACCUUUAACCCUUCAGGUAAUCUUUAACCAUUGUGCUCAUAAUACACAAACACAGCUGGGCUCACACUGUAACUGUGAAGUAAAUCUGAACUUCCUCCUUCACAAACACUGAACACUUCUGGGUUAUUUUUAACAAUUCGGUUGCUGGGUUUAGUUUGUUGGGUCACGUAGUCGGCCAGCGUGAUUAAACUGGGCCGAUGAUGGGAAGAUCAUCAUGCUGGGUUGGGUUGUGGACCUAAAAGGGAACAGGCAUCAUGAUUUAUUUCCUGGAAAUGAAAGAAAUCAGCUGCAACUGCAACAAAUGAUCACAUUUAACUGAAUUUUUAAUGUGUAGUUUGGCUUGAUAAGCCAGUGUUAGAAUACUGACAAUAAGUACAUACACUAGUAAACAUUAUUGAAGAAGGAAGUACACCUGAACUUACUUCUCGUAAUAAAUGAAUCAAAUUGGUAUUUUUUUGUAAGAAUAUUUGAAAGAUUAGAUUAAAGAUUAGAUUCCUACACAAUGGCUGCUACAGGACUAUAAUGUUACUUCUAGAUAGCUAAAAAAACGACCUGGUGUUUUCUCUGCAACUUCAUUUUAAUCCUGCGUUUGAUAUUCAUCACUUAUUAUUCCAAAAUGUACACGGAUAUUAUACUGACAUUGAUACUGAGCUAAUUAUAAAUUAGUAAUGCUUCCACACUAGGUGUUCUUGUAGACAUAAAGUGAUGCCUGACUCUUAUUUUGCGUCGAUAUGAAAACAGGCUGGUCACAUGACACUCACACGGUAUUCCAGCAUUCAUUCCUUUACAGUUGAAUAAAAGAGCGACACAUCCGGUUCAACCCGCAGCACCCGAGUGAACUUUAACCCUUUUAUCUGCAGUUAAUAUUCAUCCACUGAGCUCCUGAGCUCAUAAGUGCGGAAACAGUGAUAUGUAUUUUAUUUGCUCACAGAGUGAGCUAAAGGAGGAGCUGAAACAGGCUGUGAACCCUUUCCACAUGGAAACGUCAACCUUAGGAGACUUCUGUGAUAUGACUCUGGAUCCAGACACUGAGCAUAAUAACCUCACUCUGUCUGAGAAGAACAGAGCAGUGGGAUUUAGAGUGAGAGACAGCAGUACUCUGAUCAUCCAGAGAGAUUUGGCUACUACAUGCAGGUGUUGAGUAAGGAGAGUGUGUGUGGACGCUGUUACUGGGAGGUGGAGUGGAGCAGUCAUGGAUGGAUUUACAUAUCAGUCUCAUAUAAAGGAAUCAGCAGGAAAGGAGUGAGUGAUGACUGUGGCUUUGGAUACAACAAUCUGUCCUGGAGUCUGCAGUGUUCUCCGUCUAAACUCUGCUUCUCUCACAACGACAUUGAGUCCGAUCUCACAGUUCCAUCGUCCUCCAGAAUAGGAGUGUAUGUGGAUCACAGUGCAGGAACUCUGUCCUUCUACAGCGUCUGACACGAUGAAGCUCCUCCACAGAGUCCACACCACAUUCACUCAGCCUCUAUACGCCGGGUUCUGGCUGUCGUAUUAUGGAACAGCUGUGAAGUUAUGCGAUCCAGAGCGAAUAAUCAUGUUAUUUUUAGUAAAAUGGCCUCGGGCCCGUCGUUGCACUGUAAUCAAGUUGCUUUAAUUUUCCUUAGUAAAUAAAUUUAACAUA